UACGUAGGGACCGAGCGUUGUCCGGAAUCAUUGGGCGUAAAGAGCGUGUAGGCGGCCUUUUAAGUCCUGCGUGAAAUCCUGCGGCUCAAUCGCAGACGGUCGUGGGAAACUGGAAGGCUAGAGUGCGGGAGAGGAGAGUGGAAUUCCCGGUGUAGCGGUGAAAUGCGCAGAUAUCGGGAAGAACACCCGUGGCGAAGGCGGCUCUCUGGAACGCAACUGACGCUGAGACGCGAAAGCGUGGGGAGCAAACAGG
RNAcentral lists this ribosomal RNA (253 nucleotides) under uncultured bacterium. RNAcentral describes it as "partial 16S ribosomal RNA". It matches the Rfam family "Bacterial small subunit ribosomal RNA", at positions 524 to 776 of the family's 1533-position model. The record is from RNAcentral.